GACAGUGUGGUAUAGUGGUUUAAACAUUGGACUCCAACUCUGAAGAUCAGGAUUCAAAUCCCCGCUUGGAUA
Phrynosoma platyrhinos (Desert horned lizard) is the source of this 72-nucleotide non-coding RNA. Lineage: Eukaryota; Metazoa; Chordata; Lepidosauria; Squamata; Phrynosomatidae. The record is from the annotation of a GenBank genome assembly.